AUGAACGCUGGCGGCGUGCCUAAUCCAUGCCCGUCGAGCGAACAGAUGAGGAGCUUGCUCCUCUGACGUUAGCGGCGGACGGGUGAGUAACACGUGGAUAACCUACCUAUAAGACUGGGAUAACUUCGGGAAACCGGAGCUAAUACCGGAUAAUAUAUUGAACCGCAUGGUUCAAUAGUGAAAGACGGUUUUGCUGUCACUUAUAGAUGGAUCCGCGCCGCAUUAGCUAGUUGGUAAGGUAACGGCUUACCAAGGCAACGAUGCGUAGCCGACCUGAGAGGGUGAUCGGCCACACUGGAACUGAGACACGGUCCAGACUCCUACGGGAGGCAGCAGUAGGGAAUCUUCCGCAAUGGGCGAAAGCCUGACGGAGCAACGCCGCGUGAGUGAUGAAGGUCUUCGGAUCGUAAAACUCUGUUAUUAGGGAAGAACAAAUGUGUAAGUAACUAUGCACGUCUUGACGGUACCUAAUCAGAAAGCCACGGCUAACUACGUG
Molecule: ribosomal RNA, 496 nt
Filed under: uncultured bacterium
Lineage: Bacteria
Description: partial 16S ribosomal RNA
Rfam family: Bacterial small subunit ribosomal RNA
Source: RNAcentral